RNAcentral lists this microRNA precursor (115 nucleotides) under Tursiops truncatus (common bottlenose dolphin). Its description in RNAcentral is "miRNA (ENSTTRG00000025010.1)". The record is from RNAcentral. Lineage: Eukaryota; Metazoa; Chordata; Mammalia; Artiodactyla; Delphinidae.
UUCAACUUGCAUUUCAGGAAAAAAAAUAUAUGUUUUAGUAUAAGUAUGUGUCAUGCAAUAUUUUCGACAUACUUGUACUAAAAAUAUUUUGUUUAUGCGAAAUUCAUACUUAACU